GAUGAACGCUGGCGGCGUGCCUAAUACAUGCAAGUAGAACGCUGAAGGAGGAGCUUGCUCUUCUGGAUGAGUUGCGAACGGGUGAGUAACGCGUAGGUAACCUGCCUGGUAGCGGGGGAUAACUAUUGGAAACGAUAGCUAAUACCGCAUGACAACAGUUAUUGCAUGAUAACUGUUUAAAAGGGGCAACUGCUCCACUACCAGAUGGACCUGCGUUGUAUUAGCUAGUUGGUGAGGUAACGGCUCACCAAGGCGACGAUACAUAGCCGACCUGAGAGGGGGGUCGGCCAACCUGGGAAUGGGACACGGCCCAGGCUCCUACGGGAGGGAGCAGUAGGGGAUCUUCGGAAAUGGAGGGAAGUCUUACCGAGCAACGCCGCGUGAGUGAAGAAGGUUUUCGGAUCGUAAAGCUCUGUUGUAAGAGAAGAACGAGUGUGAGAGUGGAAAGUUCACACUGUGACGGUAUCUUACCAGAAAGGGACGGCUAACUACGUG
Molecule: ribosomal RNA, 495 nt
Filed under: uncultured bacterium
Lineage: Bacteria
Description: partial 16S ribosomal RNA
Rfam family: Bacterial small subunit ribosomal RNA
Source: RNAcentral